AUAUUUUCAUAUUUCCUUGAAUUCUGUGCAGAGAGUCUCGCAAUAAAGUCGUAAGAAGUCUUGGUCGUAAGGUUCGACGCUGGGCAAAAUCGUAGAUAUGGCUGAUUUUCGAGUCGCCGGGGCGAAAAUUGGACGUCGAAAAAUGAAUUUUGGUAUCAGGAGAAUAUGAUGAGUGAGGAGCCAGGGAAUCAGGAGACUAUACGCAAACGAAUCGUUUGAAAAUCAACGGUAUGGCACUGCGAGUAUAUCACGUUAUUUUGCGAAUGCUCAACCUCUACUCUAACGAUUGUAUGACAGCUCCCAGACGUUUGCACCAGAUGAGAUUCCUAUGCGUGCUGACACUCAAUUAUACAAUUAGUAAAGUGAAUACUACUGGAAGUAAAUGUCACCAUUUCGGAGUAGAAGAAUCAAAGUGCAUCCUCAAGAGCAGAGGGGCUAGACUGACGGCUAGAACAUUGGAUUCGAUCUAUAGAAGAGUCUUAUCAUACUUGGUUGUUUUUUGAAAUGAAUACUGAAAGCGUUGACCACUGCUAUUCGUUCCAUUCUUCCAGAUCGAACUGUAUUUGUCCCAGGGAAGAAUGCAAAGCUGAAACGACAGAGUGCUUGCGGUAUACGUCAGAUGUUAUUAUUACACCCCUGUGUACCUUGGCGGAAAGUCACUGCCAGUGUGUCGCUGGGCAAGGUCCAGCUGCCCACCACAAGCAUGUUGUUGCUCUGCUUCUAGAAACGACACAGAGAGUUUGAGAAAGAGAAAUCAUACUUCCUAGUACAUGUAUCAUUUCAAGAACUGCAAACAUUCCACAACCCAUGGAUAUGAAAUGCAAAUCAGCUGGAGACUUGGAGACCUACACUAAAAAUCUGUGCUUUCAUCUCAGAUUGUGAGAAAAUUCCAAGGCUAUAGGCUUACUGUUUGUUUCGGCAAAAACGUGGAGUAUCCCUCAGAAUAAUUCCUGGACGCUUUUUCUACGUAAAAAAGCGUAUCGAACAAGACGCCGUCAAUGAAAUUGAGCUGGCAUUCGGAUUCCUGAGAUCAAAAUACAUGAGGAUAGCGUGAGAAACCCUUCAAAAA
Molecule: long non-coding RNA, 1069 nt
Organism: Athalia rosae (coleseed sawfly)
Lineage: Eukaryota; Metazoa; Arthropoda; Insecta; Hymenoptera; Athaliidae
Exons: 5
Source: RefSeq, a predicted model, not a curated record